Molecule: ribosomal RNA, 510 nt
Filed under: uncultured bacterium
Lineage: Bacteria
Description: partial 16S ribosomal RNA
Rfam family: Bacterial small subunit ribosomal RNA
Source: RNAcentral
GACGAACGCUGGCGGCGUGCUUAACACAUGCAAGUCGAACGAAGAGCGAUGGAAGCUUGCUUCUAUCAGUCUUAGUGGCGAACGGGUGAGUAACGCGUAAUCAACCUGCCCUUCAGAGGGGGACAACAGUGGGAAACGACUGCUAAUACCGCAUACGAUCUAAACUCGGCAUCGAGGAUAGAUGAAAGGUGGCCUCUACACGUAAGCUAUCACUGAAGGAGGGGAUUGCGGCGGGUGAGAUGGUGGGAGGGGUAAAGGCCCACCAAGGCGAUGAUCAGUAGCCGGGCUGAGAGGAUGAACGGCCACAUUGGGACUGAGACACGGCCCAGACUCCUACGGGAGGCAGCAGUGGUGAAUCUUCCGCAAUGGACGAAAGUCUGACGGAGCAACGCCGCGUGAGUGAUGACGGCCUUCGGGUUGGAAAGCUCUGUUAAUCGGGACGAAAGGCCUUCUUGCGAAUAGUGAGAAGGAUUGACGGUACCGGAAUAGAAAGCCACGGCUAACUACGUG